UGGGCGUAAAGGGCUCGCAGGCGGUUUCUUAAGUCUGAUGUGAAAGCCCCCGGCUCAACCGGGGAGGGUCAUUGGAAACUGGGAAACUUGAGUGCAGAAGAGGAGAGUGGAAUUCCACGUGUAGCGGUGAAAUGCGUAGAGAUGUGGAGGAACACCAGUGGCGAAGGCGACUCUCUGGUCUGUAACUGACGCUGAGGAGCGAAAGCGUGGGGAGCGAACAGGAUUAGAUACCCUGGUAGUCCACGCCGUAAACGAUGAGUGCUAAGUGUUAGGGGGUUUCCGCCCCUUAGUGCUGCAGCUAACGCAUUAAGCACUCCGCCUGGGGAGUACGGUCGCAAGACUGAAACUCAAAGGAAUUGACGGGGGCCCGCACAAGCGGUGGAGCAUGUGGUUUAAUUCGAAGCAACGCGAAGAACCUUACCAGGUCUUGACAUCCUCUGACAACCCUAGAGAUAGGGCUUUCCCUUCGGGGACAGAGUGACACGUGGUGCAUGGGUGUCGUCAGCUCGUGUCGUGAGAUGUUGGGUUAAGUCCCGCAACGAGCGCAACCCUUGAUCUUAGUUGCCAGCAUUCAGUUGGGCACUCUCAGGUGACUGCGGGUGACAAACCGGAGGAGAGUGGGGGAUGACGUCACAUCAUCAUGCCCCUUAUGACCUGUGCUACACACGUGCUACAAUGGACAGAAC
This 686-nucleotide ribosomal RNA is filed under the name Bacillus pumilus. Its description in RNAcentral is "bacterial SSU rRNA". It matches the Rfam family "Bacterial small subunit ribosomal RNA", at positions 555 to 1240 of the family's 1533-position model. The record is from RNAcentral. Lineage: Bacteria; Bacillati; Bacillota; Bacilli; Caryophanales; Bacillaceae.